AUGCCUUCCCGCAAUGGUCUUCAUGUUCCUAACUAUUGCUUAGGAUGUGACAUACCAUUUUGUGGAGCUUACUGGAAUGAUCAAGGGGUAACUAGGAGUACCUCAUAUCAUGUGUGUUUCUGGGAUAUUUUAAAACCUAUAUCAGAAUACACUAUCAUAGGAAUUCCUUUGUUAGCCCAUGAAAAGAAUCUAUACGAACAGAGUAUUUCUAUAUCACUGAAAGUUGCUUACAACUAA
Molecule: non-coding RNA, 237 nt
Organism: Vicia faba (fava bean)
Lineage: Eukaryota; Viridiplantae; Streptophyta; Magnoliopsida; Fabales; Fabaceae
Source: the annotation of a GenBank genome assembly